CUGAACUGCUUGCUCUUGGGAAACUUCCAGCCUUUCCUUGUCUCCAGGCAAGUCUGUGAAACUGGUUUCUGUUCUCUGUUGCUGGGUAGAUUUCCUCAAAUAGAUUGUGUCUUCAAGGCUUGCAUCAGUGGGCUGAGAGGAAGGGGGAGUGGGGUUAGGGGUCUCUAUAAUCUUUCUUGCUAAGCACACUCUUGCACUCUUCCACCAGAGCCAUUUUAGGCAGAGGGAGGGUGCCCUUUCUUGAGAAAGCUAAUAAAGAAAUCUUUCUCUUUGCUACAUCUGAGUCUCCAGAAUUUAUUGGUAAGGGUCUUCACGUCCCACAUAGUUGUGGGAAAUCCUCCGGGAUUUCACCCCCUUUUUGGGGACUCCCUUAAUUCAGGGGCAGGCGAUGCCAGACUUUACUGGUGGCCUCCAGGUCUCAGCUGAGGAGGGAAAAGCCCGAAGGGAAAUCUCAGAAUAGCAAAAUGAAAGUUCUGCAGCACUGGUAACUAGAAGACCACCAUGGCCACCCAUGUGAAGUGAAGGAAAUUUUCAGUCAUGUAAGUCUGUGGGCACAGACCCAGGUCUGGGAAGGCUUGGAACCCAGCGGGGAUGCCCGUAAGGUGUCGCAAGCCCAGACCGGCAACCCUCUGGGUAACUAGGUUUCCCAGAGUCUAAGCAGAGAGGUCCAUAACACAUGGAGAGAAGUGAAGUCCCCUGAGGAUGUGAGGGAUGGCUCACAGUGAAGUUCCCUCAUUAGUAUCUCCCUGCUACACUCCUAGCUCUCUCCUGCACUCUACCUGAGUGUGAGAGAUGGCCUGCAGUGCAGUUCCCACAGGCCUAAGUUUCCUUCCUCCUGAAAGCCUUGAGUUCAGUUUGCAUUUUCCCCAAAAGUUUCUAUUUCUCCAGCACCAGGUCAGCAUGGGUGGGGGAGCUUGGUUGCCUGGUUGCUCCUAGCUCCUAGUGCACAUGUGCAUCUAGUCCAAACACGGGCAUAUUUGCUUCUAUUGGGUAUUAGUUGCUACUUUUAGAAUGUACACCCUGAGUACCCAGUCAAAGGAGAAAGGGGUAAGAGAGUGAGAGGGGGCAUCGCGUUAGGGGAUAAAAAGCCCAGGGUACAGCUCCCAACUCAUACUCUCCUGGCUGGCAAUGGUGACUAGUGGCGGUACCCUUUCUCAUGAGAAAGCAAUAAACUCCUUUCUGCUUUCAAGGUAUCUUUCAAGUCUUUGUUUUUAUUUUGAGUGGGUGGUCUCUGUCCCACACAGUUGGGGGCUCUCUGGGAUCCCCUUUACUUGGGAAAGGGCCUCCCAGCCAGUCCUAGGACAGGCCCCCACUGGCCACUUACCAGUAGUCUGUGGAGUGGUUUGGGAGUUUCCUUUCCCUUUUAAGGAAUGGACCCGAAGAAAGACAGAUACCUGCAAGCAGAAACAAAAGCAAACAGAGUUCCAACGGUGCUAGCAAAGACAGUAGACAGAGAGAAGAGAGAGAACUGAGUUUUGGACGAUCACAUAAGUUGUGCGCACAUAACCCAGACGAAAGAUCCAGGGAGCCCUGAGAUACUUUUUGGAGCAAGAUCUGCAUGGUCAGUAUGGAGUGUGUCGCCUGCCCUUUUAAAGUGCUACCUAUGGUGUGGAGAGGAAAUUGCUUCAAUGGGCGCUUCAUAAAUGCUGCUUGACUUAACUUCACAGUUGAACUAACUACCUGUGCUGCUAGGAUCCAAGAAGAGAGAACCAGUGACAACAGGAGUGUGAUAUCUUGACUUGUGAGUGAAUUAGAUUCAAGUGAGACAGAACUGUGCAAAGUCUUCAGCUCCACUCUCUGCUCCAGAGUUGUCAGAGUCCAGGGCAAGAGACAGGUCAGCACCGCUGGAGGUGGCCCCAGCUGCAGUGGGAAACCCUCAGAAUUUCCAGCCGGAAUCGAAGGUGCCCAGUAAGUGAGGGGCCUGUACUCUAUCCACUGUGCCACCUGGCCAUCCCACACACAGCCUCUUGAUGAAGUUGAUGCUGCUGCUCCACCUGCAGAGUUAGCAACUGGAUCUCUUGCUGAAGGACAUCAGUUUUCUGCAGGAGCCAGAGAACCUCCACAAUGAAAAAACUAGAAUAUGAG
Phascolarctos cinereus (koala) is the source of this 2085-nucleotide non-coding RNA. NCBI's taxonomy places the organism in Eukaryota, Metazoa, Chordata, Mammalia, Diprotodontia, Phascolarctidae. The record is from RefSeq and is a predicted model, not a curated record.